Non-coding RNA from Podarcis lilfordi (Lilford's wall lizard), 75 nucleotides. The record is from the annotation of a GenBank genome assembly. Lineage: Eukaryota; Metazoa; Chordata; Lepidosauria; Squamata; Lacertidae.
GCUCUGGGAUAGCUCAGUCAGUAGAGCAUGAGACUCUUAAUCUCAGGGUCCUGGGUUUGAGCCUCACCUUGGGCA